Molecule: long non-coding RNA, 1034 nt
Organism: Trichomycterus rosablanca
Lineage: Eukaryota; Metazoa; Chordata; Actinopteri; Siluriformes; Trichomycteridae
Exons: 2
Source: RefSeq, a predicted model, not a curated record
CAGAACAUCCAUCCAGUCCUGCACACUCUCCCAUCCGCCCUCUCGCUCCAAAAUGUGUCCCAGCUGAACCUUAUCCAGUUUAAAAGAAGAAACUUCACCCACCUGAAAGGAUAAAUCCUGGAUAAGGACGUCACCAUUAGGGGUCACCAGAGGAACGUGUUCAAACCUGAGAACGUAAACAUCAUUCAUUAUAUGCUAACGUUAUUUGUUAAACCAUGUUUAGCUCUCACAGUUUUAUUAUAAUCACCGGCAAAAAACCCACACAGUCCUUCGUUAUGCCACUUCUUUUUCCCAGACAGUGGCGGAUUCUCACAUUAAGCUUUAAGAUGUAUGGAGAAACACACUACACUCUCUGUAUUCCUCCACCACUACUCCUGAUACCUCAACCAGCCAGCAGGAGGCGCUGCUUCUGCCUUCCAAUAAUUAUACACAAUUAAUAGAUUCUGCAGAGCGCCUGACCACCUGCAGUGGUGGACUAUUGUAUUCCACAGCUGCACCACCUUAUUAUGGUCAGAAAAAUAUGCUGGGUGUUCAUAAUGUGACUGUGGGGAUGCGUGACUUCAGUGUGUGAGAUACCAAUCCAACAGUUUUAAACUCAGACGUUUGUUCUGAAGGUUUAAGAGUUUUGGUGAAAAUAAAGGAGAGUCUGCGUGGAUUCACCUGAUGAUAUUAUCUGCUAUCAGAAUUUCUCCCCCUCCAGGAAGCAGAUCUGAUUUCUGCUCGUCCUCUGAAUCUGAAAACGGUGACACAGAAAACCAUUUUUACAUUUCUCAGACUAAAAUAUGGUUCAUUAUUAAACACACACACACACACACACACACACACAGAACUCCAGUAACAACCACAACACAUUUUUAUCAGAACCGAUAAAAUCUAAUCACCAAAUUAACAAAAUAAUAAAACUGGAGAAACGAUGAAACUGAAGCUGCAGCCUGAAGCGACUCAGGAACAGAAAAAACAGGCGACUGAAAUCUGCUGAAAUCAAACCAGCUCUGUUUAACUGAGUUUAAUAAACUGAUAAUUAAAUAAACACA